GAUGAACGCUGGCGGCGUGCCUAAUACAUGCAAGUCGAGCGAACGGACGAGAAGCUUGCGUCUCUGAUGUUAGCGGCGGACGGGUGAGUAACACGUGGAUAACCUACCUAUAAGACUGGGAUAACUUCGGGAAACCGGAGCUAAUACCGGAUAAUAUUUUGAACCGCAGGGUUCAAAAGUGAAAGACGGUUUUGCUGUCACUUUUAGCUGGAUCCGCGCUGCCUUAGCUAGUUGGUAAGGUAACGGCUUACCAAGGCAACGAUGCAUAGCCGACCUGAGAGGGUGAUCGGCCACACUGGAACUGAGACACGGUCCAGACUCCUACGGGAGGCAGCAGUAGGGAAACUUCCGCAAUGGGCGAAAGCCUGACUGAGCAAAGCCGCGUGAGUGAUGAAGGUCUUCGGAUCGUAAAACUCUGUUAUUAGGGAAGAAAAUAUGUGUAAGUAACUGUGCACAGCUUGGCGGUACCUAAUCAGAAAGCCACGGCCAACUUCGUGC
This 498-nucleotide ribosomal RNA is filed under the name uncultured bacterium. Its description in RNAcentral is "partial 16S ribosomal RNA". It matches the Rfam family "Bacterial small subunit ribosomal RNA", at positions 28 to 508 of the family's 1533-position model. The record is from RNAcentral.